AGCAGCGCACACGCGUUCCAUCUGCGAAUUCAUACGCGCACGCGAAGCCGGUUGAGUAGUGCGUAACUCCGGUGCCAAGAAUUUCGAGUGAUGUUGUAACGGAGAUAUAACCGAGGUGGUUCGUAUUUCGGGCCUUGAUAAUGACGAAUGAUCCGAGAGAAUGAAAGAACUUUGAUAUUCUUGGCAAUUGCGAAGUGACAGCUUAGCUUGCCAAUUAGAUGUCAAGAGGCUGAGAGGAUUCUGCGACAUCGCAAUGUGAAUAUUAAGGGGAGAAUUAAAUUUUUAAAAUAAACAAGCUAGACCAACGACUUCGGGUACACCGAAGAAUACAACAAAAAAACGAAAUUUAAAUGGUCUUUAAGGAAAAAGAAGAAAAGAACAAAAAAUGUGACGUAUCACAAAGUACAUAAGGGUAAAUUUACAAAAACAGAGGAAUGGCUCAGUUUCGUUGCGUGCUUCUUUUGUCUCUCUCUACACUGUUGUAUAUAAGCGCUGUUCUGAGUGAUGUCCUCCAAGCGAGUCAUCAAAAUCAUCAGAUUCAUCAGCAUCAUGGAUUUACCCACCGUCAUCGACCACAGAAUCCAAACCCGUUGAGUUGGUCACCGCGGCAUGGCGAACAUGCGACUUUGUAUGCGCACAGCCGACACAAUCAUGAAUCUCAGCGACGCGAGUCGCGUCUUCUUACCUACCGGAACGAGCCUUCGCCGGCGACGAGGACGACGACCACGAUGACGACGUCGACGACGAAGACGACGACUAUGACGACGUCGCCAAGUGCGAGCAAAGUUAUUUCGUAUGAACCCGCGCGUCAGGAUAUACACUGGCAACAGCAGCAUCAGCGAUCCAUCAAUUCCAGUGCCAUUGAUUACAGCAAGUAUCAGUCGGG
Molecule: long non-coding RNA, 886 nt
Organism: Ceratosolen solmsi marchali
Lineage: Eukaryota; Metazoa; Arthropoda; Insecta; Hymenoptera; Agaonidae
Exons: 3
Source: RefSeq, a predicted model, not a curated record